Cyanistes caeruleus (blue tit) is the source of this 290-nucleotide long non-coding RNA. RefSeq lists it as uncharacterized. Lineage: Eukaryota; Metazoa; Chordata; Aves; Passeriformes; Paridae. The record is from RefSeq and is a predicted model, not a curated record.
GGGAAAACUGACCCCAGUGGGGCAGCAUGUUCCCCUUUCCCCACCAGCCAGGCAGUGGUGCAGGAAGGAGCAGCCAGAGAGAACAAGUGUUUUAAAAAAGUGAUUCAGCUCUGCAAAGGUGAGCCUGGCACUGGCUUGGAGCCAGGAUACCUGGCCUGAACCUGCAACUUCUAGACAAGAUGAAGAGACCACGGAUUUAGGAUUGAUUUUUCCACAAGAAAAGCCCCGCUCUAGCAAACCCCCCUGUCCAUCAUCCCCGCCCUGCACUGACCUUCCGAGCAAUGGGCAUC